This 406-nucleotide ribosomal RNA is filed under the name uncultured bacterium. Its description in RNAcentral is "partial 16S ribosomal RNA". It matches the Rfam family "Bacterial small subunit ribosomal RNA", at positions 30 to 526 of the family's 1533-position model. The record is from RNAcentral.
AUUGAACGCUGGCGGCAGGCCUAACACAUGCAAGUCGAACGAGUGGCGGACGGGUGAGUAAUGUCUGGGAAACUGCCCGAUGGAGGGGGAUAACUACUGGAAACGGUAGCUAAUACCGCAUACCAUCGGAUGUGCCUAGGUCGGAUUAGCUAGUUGGUGGGGUAAAGGCCUACCAAGGCGACGAUCCGUAACUGGUCUGAGAGGAUGAUCAGUCACACUGGAACUGAGACACGGUCCAGACUCCUACGGGAGGCAGCAGUGGGGAAUAUUGGACAAUGGGCGAAAGCCUGAUCCAGCCAUGCCGCGUGUAUGAAGAAGGCCUUCGGGUUGUAAAGUACUUUCAGCGAGGAGGCGUUACUCGCAGAAGAAGCACCGGCUAACUCCGUGCCAGCAGCCGCGGUAAUAC